UCCUGGCUCAGGACGAACGCUGGCGGCGUGCUUAACACAUGCAAGUCGAACGAUGAACCGCUUUCGGGCGGGGAUUAGUGGCGAACGGGUGAGUAACACGUGGGCAAUCUGCCCUGCACUCUGGGACAAGCCCUGGAAACGGGGUCUAAUACCGGAUAUGACCGUCUGCCGCAUGGUGGAUGGUGUAAAGCUCCGGCGGUGCAGGAUGAGCCCGCGGCCUAUCAGCUUGUUGGUGAGGUAGUGGCUCACCAAGGCGACGACGGGUAGCCGGCCUGAGAGGGCGACCGGCCACACUGGGACUGAGACACGGCCCAGACUCCUACGGGAGGCAGCAGUGGGGAAUAUUGCACAAUGGGCGAAAGCCUGAUGCAGCGACGCCGCGUGAGGGAUGACGGCCUUCGGGUUGUAAACCUCUUUCAGCAGGGAAGAAGCGAAAGUGACGGUACCUGCAGAAGAAGCGCCGGCUAACUACGUGCCAGCAGCCGCGGUAAUACGUAGGGCGCAAGCGUUGUCCGGAAUUAUUGGGCGUAAAGAGCUCGUAGGCGGCUUGUCACGUCGGUUGUGAAAGCCCGGGGCUUAACCCCGGGUCUGCAGUCGAUACGGGCAGGCUAGAGUUCGGUAGGGGAGAUCGGAAUUCCUGGUGUAGCGGUGAAAUGCGCAGAUAUCAGGAGGAACACCGGUGGCGAAGGCGGAUCUCUGGGCCGAUACUGACGCUGAGGAGCGAAAGCGUGGGGAGCGAACAGGAUUAGAUACCCUGGUAGUCCACGCCGUAAACGGUGGGCACUAGGUGUGGGCAACAUUCCACGUUGUCCGUGCCGCAGCUAACGCAUUAAGUGCCCCGCC
This 843-nucleotide ribosomal RNA is filed under the name Streptomyces sp. RKEM 774. RNAcentral describes it as "bacterial SSU rRNA". It matches the Rfam family "Bacterial small subunit ribosomal RNA", at positions 17 to 873 of the family's 1533-position model. The record is from RNAcentral. Lineage: Bacteria; Bacillati; Actinomycetota; Actinomycetes; Kitasatosporales; Streptomycetaceae.